Molecule: ribosomal RNA, 325 nt
Filed under: uncultured eukaryote
Lineage: Eukaryota
Description: partial 18S ribosomal RNA
Rfam family: Eukaryotic small subunit ribosomal RNA
Source: RNAcentral
CCCUUAGAUGUUCUGGGCCGCACACGCGCUACACUGAAGGAGGCAGCGUGUACUCCUGGAUCGAAAGAUUUGGGUAACCCGCGAAUCUCCUUCGUGCUAGGGAUUGAGGUUUGCAAUUAUCCUUCAUGAACGAGGAAUUCCCAGUAAGUGCAAGUCAUAAGCUUGCGCUGACUACGUCCCUGCCCUUUGUACACACCGCCCGUCGCUCCUACCGAUUGAAUGGUCCGGUGAAGCGCUCGGACCGCGGCCUCUUGACGGUUUUCCGUCGAUUGGCUGUGGGAAGUUCGUUAAACCUUAUCAUUUAGAGGAAGGAGAAGUCGUANCA